UCGUUUGUACUGGUACGUUUUCCCUCACUUUGUGCGUUAAUUGACUUGUCUUGUUUUCAUUUUUGCUGUCUUCCCCAUUGUUAGAACUUUAAUAAGUGUCUCAAAAAACAGUUUUUAUCAAAACUACAGAUCAUUGUGGAAUAAUCUCAGUUCUUUGGCGCAAUCAUCAUGCCUAUUACCGUAAUGGGGUGUUAAAUGAGGAUGGGGAUGGAGUGUACUCUGUGGAGGCGUCUAAAAACGAGUAUCUAGUGAAAUGUUCUGUUGUCAUUGAUGAAGAAUCUUUGAAGACGCUAUAUGGCGAAUUAUGGCCAGAUUUAACGACACUGGUAGCAUUUCUAAGUGAAAACCGACGGGGAGACCUCAAGUUAGUGAAGACGUUGAAGAUUUAAGGAUGAGAAUGGAACAAAGUCCGAAUAAAGCUUUGUCAAAAAUCUUUACUGUCCGGAGUACCAUACAGCCCAUGUCAGAAAA
Zophobas morio is the source of this 471-nucleotide long non-coding RNA. RefSeq lists it as uncharacterized. The record is from RefSeq and is a predicted model, not a curated record. The transcript is spliced from 2 exons. Lineage: Eukaryota; Metazoa; Arthropoda; Insecta; Coleoptera; Tenebrionidae.